ACCUAGAGCUGCAGAAUGACUGCUGUUUACAGUGAGAAAAGAAGUCAAUGCACCAGCACAAGAUGUCUGUUCUCUCUCUGUAUUUGAUGACGCAGUGUUCAUGUCAUCUGAAAAAAAAAAGCUUCUAAAGGAUUUCAAGUGAGACACGCACCCCAAUAAAGUGAAUCUGGCAGGGAGGGAUGGUGUAAAGCCGGUUGCCUUCAACUCUAUCUAGAAAUGUCAGUGAAAGCUGUAAACCACAUAUAGCUUUUGAUAUUUGAACUAUGGAGAUAAUGUGAUGCAAAUGGGUCGCACUGCGCAGAUGCAGGUGAUCUUGAGUCACUUCCUCAAGCCACACUCGUGGUAUUAUUUAGAAGAGGACAACAAGCAAAGUUAAGUCUGACACAGAGAAAGGGACCGAUGUGUGUACUUCUAACAUGUUUGGUUGGUUAAAUAAAUGUUGUAAAUUCAAAUCAGAGCAUCUUCCGUGUCUGGAAUGGAUGUGUUCUUGAGUCUAUAAGGUAACAAUAAUAUAAUAAGAUAACCUUGUU
This is a long non-coding RNA of Carassius carassius (crucian carp), 530 nucleotides long. RefSeq lists it as uncharacterized. The transcript is spliced from 3 exons. NCBI's taxonomy places the organism in Eukaryota, Metazoa, Chordata, Actinopteri, Cypriniformes, Cyprinidae. The record is from RefSeq and is a predicted model, not a curated record.